Molecule: ribosomal RNA, 1758 nt
Filed under: Triticum aestivum (bread wheat)
Lineage: Eukaryota; Viridiplantae; Streptophyta; Magnoliopsida; Poales; Poaceae
Description: partial small subunit ribosomal RNA
Source: RNAcentral
AUGGAUCUCUCGCGGCCGGAGUCGUCGGACCUCUCGCUCGGGCUCCACCCGCACGCCCACGCCCAUGCGCGCGUGCACGCGCGCGCCGCCACGCCGCUGCGGCUGUUCGACGACUCGGACGACGUCAAGACGGAGGGCAGCGUCGGGGGCGGCGGCGACGGCGAGGACGGGAACGACGAGGGCGCCGACCAGCACUUCUCGCUCCUCGGCCACUCGCUCUGCGUCAAGCGCCCGCGCCGCGGGCUCUACGGCGGCGGCGGGGGAGGGGAGACCUCCUCCUGCUCGUCCUCGUCCGCGGCGGCCAUGCGCCCCGCGAAGCGCCAGGCGUCGGGCGCGGAUCUGGAGGCGCGGCGCAGCGCGGUCCGCGCGUGGGGGAACCAGCCGCUCGCGGAGGCCGACCCGGACGUGCACGCGCUCAUGGAGCGCGAGAGGGAGCGCCAGGUGCGCGGCAUCGAGCUCAUCGCCUCGGAGAACUUCGUCUGCCGCGCCGUGCUCGACGCCCUCGGCAGCCACCUCACCAACAAGUACUCCGAGGGGCACCCGGGCGCUCGCUACUACGGCGGGAACCAGCACAUCGACGCCAUCGAGCGGCUCUGCCAUGAGCGCGCCUGCACCGCCUUCGGUCUCGACCCGGCCUGCUGGGGUGUCAAUGUCCAGCCCUACUCAUGCACCUCCGCGAACCUGGCGGUCUACACAGGGCUUCUCCUACCCAAUGACCGUAUCAUGGGCCUUGAGCCGCCGUCCGGUGGCCAUGUCAGCCACGGGUAUUACACGCCUAGUGGUAAGAAGGUGUCUGGCGCCUCGAUAUUCUUUGAGAGCUUGUCAUACAAGGUGAAUCCACAGACUGGCUAUAUUGAUUAUGACAAGCUUGAGGACCGGGCAAUGGAUUUCCACCCAAAGAUUCUUAUCUGUGGUGGGAGUUCCUACCCCAGGGAGUGGGACUUUGCACGGAUGAGGCUGAUAGCUGACAAGUGUGGCGCAGUGCUCAUGUGCGACAUGGCGCAUAUUAGCGGACUUGUUGCAGCGAAGGAAUGUCGCAGUCCAUUCGACUACUGUGACGUUGUUACCUCAACUACUCACAAGAACCUAAGGGGUCCUAGAGGUGGAAUAAUAUUUUUUAGGAAAGGGAAGAAUAUGAGGAAGCGAGGUGGAUCUUUUUCUCAAGGGGAUGAAAAUGAUUAUGAUUUUGAGGAUAAGAUAAAUUUCGCUGUAUUCCCUUCACUGCAAGGAGGGCCGCAUAAUAACCAUAUUGCUGCUUUAGCGAUAACGCUGAAGCAAGUUGCGACGCCUGAAUAUAAAGCAUACAUUCAACAAGUUAAGAAAAAUGCUCAAGCUUUGGCAUCGGCCUUGCUCAGAAGAAAAUGCAGAUUGGUUACUGGUGGCACUGAUAAUCACUUGGUGCUUUGGGACCUCAGAACUUUUGGCUUGACCGGGAAGAACUUUGAGAAGGUCUGUGAGCUGUGCCACAUCUCUAUAAAUAAGACACCGAUAUAUGGGGAUAAUGGCUCAAUAUCUCCCGGUGGCGUGCGUAUUGGAACACCUGCAAUGACUACUAGAGGUUGCCUAGAAGAUGACUUCGAGGUGAUCGCAGACUUCCUCAUAAGGGCGACACAGAUAGCUGGUAGUGUUCUGAAACAACACGGAAAAGUCCAGAAGGAAUUUCUAAGAGGCCUGGAGAACAAUAAGGACAUUAUAGAGCUCGGUAACCAGGUUGAGGCUUUCGCAUCACAGUUUGCGAUGCCAGGUUUUGAUGUAUGA